Molecule: ribosomal RNA, 494 nt
Filed under: uncultured bacterium
Lineage: Bacteria
Description: partial 16S ribosomal RNA
Rfam family: Bacterial small subunit ribosomal RNA
Source: RNAcentral
GACGAACGCUGGCGGCGUGCCUAAUACAUGCAAGUAGAACGCUGAGGGAGGAGCUUGCUUCUCCGGAUGAGUUGCGAACGGGUGAGUAACGCGUAGGUAACCUGCCUGGUAGCGGGGGAUAACUAUUGGAAACGAUAGCUAAUACCGCAUAAGAGUAGAUGUUGCAUGACAUUUGCUUAAAAGGUGCAAUUGCAUCACUACCAGAUGGACCUGCGUUGUAUUAGCUAGUUGGUGGGGUAACGGCUUACCAAGGCGACGAUACAUAGCCGACCUGAGAGGGUGAUCGGCCACACUGGGACUGAGACACGGCCCAGACUCCUACGGGAGGCAGCAGUAGGGAAUCUUCGGCAAUGGACGGAAGUCUGACCGAGCAACGCCGCGUGAGUGAAGAAGGUUUUCGGAUCGUAAAGCUCUGUUGUAAGAGAAGAACGAGUGUGAGAGUGGAAAGUUCACACUGUGACGGUAUCUUACCAGAAAGGGACGGCUAACUACGU